Long non-coding RNA from Solanum tuberosum (potato), 3711 nucleotides. RefSeq lists it as uncharacterized. NCBI's taxonomy places the organism in Eukaryota, Viridiplantae, Streptophyta, Magnoliopsida, Solanales, Solanaceae. The record is from RefSeq and is a predicted model, not a curated record. The transcript is spliced from 4 exons.
UUUUAUUAAAUCAAACUUAUAUAAGGAUCAAACAUUAUCUAAUUAAACUCAAUCAUAAGAAGUAAUUAAAGGUGGGAAAUGAGAUGAUGAAGGGAAAAGGUUAAAGAAGCUUGAGUAGGGAUUGCACUUUUAUUUUUCAAUUUAAGUUAGUAUUUGACCAUAAAUGUUUUACAAAUGUUAUUUAAUAGGAGUAUCUCAAAAUAAUUUUUUUUUCUAUUACUACAUUUGAAAAGACCAUUUAUAGCCUUAAUAGCUAAUCUUUAUAUUUAUCCAUUAAAGAUUGGUCAUUACUUCUGAUUCAAAUAUUAAUGUUGCAAUUGAUAUUUGUAAUAUUUUCCCAUAAUUACCUAUCUCAUUUACUCCCGUUGUGAUCAUUUUGAGUUUUUUCACACCUAUAUAUUCUUAUUGUAUUUUCUCUUUGGGGAGAAAAAGAGAAGAUAUUAACAUAUUAAUUCCUCAUAUAUUCUAGUAUGCUGAAUUUUCUUUUUCCUACUUGAUUUUUUGUUAGAUUUUAACUUUUGUAUAUGUAAGAAGAGCUUGUUGAAUACAAGGAUACAAUCAGAUGAAAUAUCUUUAAAGAUAGUAUCUUUUACAUGCCUCAAGUGUUGAGGAUAUUUAAAAAAAAAUUUAAAUUUGGACUCAAGAUCCAUCUUAUUAAUUAAAUAACUGGGCCAAACAUCAUUAAUAAAAGGUUCAACCUGAUCGGCCCAAAUUGGCAAAACCAAGUGGAUAAAGGCACUACCCUAAUACUAGGGUUUUCUAAAUGAGCUAUCCUUUUCUCCUUUCUUUCUCUUCCUCUCCUCUUUCUCAGCUCGCCUCUAUCCCAAUGUUUGUCAUUGUCCCCUUGCUCCGACUUGAUGUUCCUCCUUCUUUGGGUGAUAAACAUCCUUCAUGUUCGACUUAUGAUGGAUGCUAGAAAUAUCAUCUCUCAAAGGUGUGUUUUCUGGUUAGAAAGCCUGAGUUCGUGAAGAAAUUGAAAGAGAGUAUGUGCCUUUGUGCUUCCUCCAUGCAAAUCUGUGUGAAGCAAAAUAGAAAAAGAUCUUGUAGCUCCCUCGCUAUCUUUUUGCUGGAAGCUUGUUUUGAAAUCAGAUUUGGCCUCUAUACUCUUUUUUUUUUGCUGGUCCCUAUGUCCCUUUUUGCUGGUUGUCAUAGCUUAGAAAUAUGAUAGGUUCCUUAACAUCUUUUUUACUCCCAACAUAGCUAAUAUCUAACCUGUACAUAUCAUAGUUUUGGAACAAUGUGUCUUCUGAUCUGUAACUAAGCAUGAUGUCCAUUGUUGUUAGUGUUAAUUAUCCUUUUCUUGAUGUGAACUGAAGGGAUUUGUUGUUUAUCUAUGUUAAGAAUCCUUCUUCCCAAACUUGGUAACUGAAUGAAAUUCUGAAAUGUCUUUAUUUCUUCUUUAUUUAUUACUGAAUUUGCUAUGUAGUCUGCCAAUUGAUUUGCUUCUCUAAAAUUAUGUGAAACCUGUACUCUGAUUUUCCCCACCAUGUCAUGUAUUUCCUCUAUCAUUUCUGCUAACUCACAAGGUAUUUUCCAACUCCUAGUGAUCAUGUUUUUCAAUACUAUGGAAUCAGAUCCUAGAUGAACAUGAUUCAUAUUUUUCCUGAUGCAAAAUUGUAGAGCUUCCCAGACUUCUCUCACCUCUGCCUCCAUAUUUGUAGCUAUCUCCAUGUUCUUGGUCUCAACAUAAAUAAGAUCACCCCUUCUAUCCCAUGACAUAGUAUUUCCGUAAAAUUUCUAACAAAAUUUUUGGAGUAAGUUUUGAAAAUUCAUUUUCAAAUAUAUGUUUGAUCGUGAAAUUUGAUCAGAUUUUGAAAAUUUGUUCUUCAAAUAUUUUCAAGUUCCCAAAAAUUAGGUCAAAACAGUGUUAGAAUUUUUGAAACUUCCAUUCAUAAAACCUCAAUUUGAAAAACUCAAAUUUCAACUUUGAAAUCGAUGACUAAAUAAGAGUUAGGUACAUAAAUAAAGCACAACCCCCUCCGGCCCUCCCCCAACCACACACACAAACCAAAAUAUAAGUAUAAAAAUUUGAAGCCACAUUAUUUCAGUACGCAAGUAUAAAACUUUGUUAUUUUUCUUUUCAGCGGCCACCCCCGUUUUCCACCGUCCAACACGCCACCACAAGCCAAAGUUCUUAACCUAAGCUUCAUUUCAGCAAUGGGAACAUCAACUAUUAGGGACAUCUUGACUUGUUUCAGUCCCUCUUUGAACUUCUUUGCUAUCAGCUCCGGUGAUGGCCGUGUCAAGCCAUUGUUGGGAGAGAAUUCAACACACUUUGGGCUGAAAUUUCAGCUCUCUUUUGUGCUCAUGUUGGGCCCUCUCUUGGACUUCACAUGGUUAAUUCAUUUAAACGGCUGGUGCUGGUGGACUGGUUUGCAAAAUUGAUUCCAUGUCAGGGAACUUGCUGCACAAGUUUAAAGCUUCCACUAAUGCAAUAUCAUCUUUAUCCAUUUCAUCAGGUUUGUAUCUAUACAUGUUCAUUGUCUUCGAUGAUGGCUACAUUUUGAGAAUCUUGCAUUUAGUCAAUCUGGAUUAGUAACUGAACGAUUGACAUCUUUGACCCCUUCUGUAGUUUCUAUAAUGCAAAAUGGGUACUCUCGACAAUGAUACCAGAUCCUGUUUGCUAAGAGUUAGCAAUAUUUUUCUCAUGUCAUAUUUGAUCAGUAUGUGUUCUGAAUACAUGUCAUUGCUCCAUUUGUAUCCUCUUCACCCUCUACUUUCUGUUAGCGUUUCUGUAGUGGUUUUCUCCUUGUAGCAACCAAAAUUCUAUGCUUAAUUUGUUUCUGCUGAUUUUAUUGCAUUUUCACCUCUUUCAACACGACUAAUUUCUACCUGGUACUCCCACCCUAACUUAUUUCUCCGUAUUAUUAGUAUUACAAAAUCUGAAUAUUAAUGAUAUAGAUAAUACAAUUGAAUUUUAGGGAUUUGAAUAUUUAGUCAUCAUAGUUAGUUUGUUCUCUUCAUGUAUUUAUAUCCUUGUUCUUGUUGAGUAAUAUACAAAUUAUUCUCCAUACCUUAUGAGUGACAUGGUAUCAAAGCCAAGUUAAGGUUUCGUUUCUUUUCUUUUUUUCUCUGCUUUGGGUCACUCAUCCAUGAGUUACCAGUUUCCCUCACCUUCGGCAAAGGGCGAAGAUCUUUUAGACAAUUUUUUUCUUUUGUAGACUGGAUCAAUUGUUUCGCUAUCUUAUCCGGCAUCUGUGAAGAUCUACAAUUUUUUAAUUGCAACAUCAGUUUACUCUGAUCACUCUUCGUGUUGUUGUGUUGGAUCCACUGCUGCUCUAGUCCCUAUUUGUCUCUAUUGCUUCAAUAUUUGUUACCAAGGUCUGCUUUGAUUUUUUGUUUAUCUAUAUCUGGUUGGGUUUGCUGAUUUCAAUUGUUUUCCAGCUUUUGGAGUUGUUUAAUUUGGAAGCGCUCUGUGGGAUUGCUCUCUGUGAGGGCUUAUUUGGUUUGGAGUUGAUAUUACUAUAUUUUGUGGUUAAAUAACUAUUCAAGCCUUAUUUUUAAUUGAUGUUGUGGUGCUCUUGAUGUUUGUGAAUUCCAACCUCCUAAGGUAUGUUCCUGUAGGUGGAGGGAGCCCAAUGUAUCUUUGUGCAUGGUCCGUUUGAAAUUUUAUUAUUUUCAAUUGUCUUGGAUAAAAAUAGGUUCAAAUUAUUGAAUUCAUGUCUUCAAGAGUAACAGUAGCUUCACCCCCGGAAACACAAAAGUGUUAGU